UGCAUCUCAAUGUUUCAAAGCAACCAGAAACCAGCAAAUCAAGAAAUGUUACGCCGCAGUCCCAGAUUACUCGCAAAAGGGUACUAUAAUCCCGAGGACCCCACGAUUCAACAGAUCUGCUCUAAGGAGACCCCCAUCAGGAUCUUCAAGAAAAGGGAAGGGAACUGCGGAGUGGGUGGGGCCUGUCGCAACUUAAUUAGCGAAUUUAAUGUGUGUGAUUUCCAGAGCCUGGAAAAAAAAGAUCCCAUGCUGACAUCUGAAAUAUCUCCUCAGCAUGCUUCCCCACCCAGCAGAUGUUUUUUAGUUGUGAGGAAGAUGGUUCUUCUUCCCCUCCUCCUCUGCCUGCUGGCGUUUGGUGUUUGGUUUUGCUACACGAGUGUUACUAAACAGCUGUUUCAGUCUGCAGCAUAUUUGGCACAGGACACAUUCAUACAGAAUCAAGCAGCUCUGAUUGAAGAGUUCAAGUUCCUGAAACUGACGAUAAGACAACAGAGUCUAGAACAAAAGGAAGAGUUCCAGAAACUGGCGAUAAGACAACAGAGGCUAGAACAAAAGGAUGGUGAAGAAUUCAUACGCAGGGCGCUCAGCCAUUUCCGAGCUGAUGGUAUUGGAAUGGCAGAUUACGCGCUGGAGUCUUUAGGCGCCGCUGUGAUAGCCAGUACAGAGACAGAUAAAUCUAAAUACUGCAAAUUGUUCGGCUUCAGUGAAUGGUGCAACAUUAAUAGCCCUGAAAAAGCUAUACAGCCGGAGGUCUUCCCUGGUAAAUGUUGGGGAUUUAAAGGUUCCGAAGGUUACCUUCUCAUCUCUCUGCCCUUCUCUGUACGCAUCACCCACGUGACGCUGGAGCACCUGCCCCGAGUGCUCUCACCCAAUGGCCACACGAGAAGCGCUCCGAGAGACUUUGCAGUUUAUGGAAAGGUUAACAAGAAAGAUGGAGGAAAACUUCUUGGAGAAUUCACUUAUGACCAGGACGGAGAACCGAUCCAGACCUUCGAAAUUCCGAACUCUCCGAGUGAGGCUUAUGAACUGGUGGAGCUGAGGAUCCUCAGUAAUUGGGGUCACCCUGAAUACACCUGUGUGUAUCGCUUUAGGGUCCACAGCCAGCCUGUCUGGUAAAAAAGGAAAGCUACAAUCAAAGGUUCAAACAAACAAAACACAUAAACAAAAAGGCCAAAUAUAAUACAAAAUGAACAAAUUUUUUUAGAAUAAAUAAAUAGGAUUUCUUCACACUGUGCAGAGAAAUCACACACAUUCUUACACAGUGACACAAUUAGACAUAAAAGACUGAAAUUCUUUACAGACAUGAUGAUGAUGUCAUAUAAAGCUGUUAUAAAACUGUGAAACACACACAUAGCAGCCCGGUUGAUGAAAAAGUUUUGCUCCUCAUUGAUGAUUGUGAUUAUCUUCCUUUAUUACGCAUUGCACACCGUAAGAGCUAGAAAUAAAACAAAUAAAAUACAAAAUGGUGUUUUCUGCAUAGAAAUGUACAAAAUAAACACCAAAACAAACAAUUAGAUAGCAGCACUAGCUAUUUUACAACUAAAGUAGCCUAAUUAGCAAUAAGCUAAUAUAAAAACAAAAACAUUCCAAAUAUAAGCACAUUAAACAAACAUUAGUGACCUUGAACCCUCAUCAAUCAGGUGCUAAAGCAAAACAUUCAUUAUUUUACUCGUUUGGCUGCUGCAUCAGACCAACUCCAUGUGCUGUUUACUACUGCUUUUUGCUUCAUUCACUGGGAGAAAUCGUGCUUCAAAAUAAUCCUCAUGGGAAAUAUAACAAACAAUUAGACAAAUAAUCAGAAGACAAACACAAAAGCAUAUAUUUUAUGACUCUGGAUGCAAAGUAAAUAAGAACAGAGUUAAAGGUUAUUCAUACACACCUCCAUCUAUUUCCACCAUCUGUACACAACACCAAACAUAAAUUAAGAUCAUUAUUAAUAGAUCUUAUAUAAUGGAUAUUAAUAAAUUAAGCGGGUUUUUAAUUAGCUUCUGUGAGAAUAUUUUGGUUGGUGUUGGACAUAUCAGCUCCGAGAAAACAAAAAUGUGAAACAGAGAACCAGUUGUACCAGUGUACGUAAACACAUUUCUAUACAAACACAUUUUAAUUGUACAAUUUAAACAAACAUCAUAAUUAAGCUUUUUAAAUAAAUCACAUUUUAUAAACAGGUUUUAUUGAUUUCCUUUUUUAAAAAUGUACUUAAAAAAAUUGUUUUAUCUUUUCCCCUGCAUCAUGUUGUAUCUAAUUAUUAGUAGGAUUGGUGAUCAUGUUGCUUUUCCCCCCAAAUUUUAUUUACUUUCAACAAAAUCAGAACAUAGGUUUAAUUUUGGAAACCUCCACCAAAACCCAAAAACUAAACACCCAACCCGUUUGCAGUACACAGUCAAACUGGAGAAAAGUUUUAAAAUGUUGAAUCAGUUAUGAGUAACUGAAUUAUUCACACUUUCCACUUCUUUAAUGAGAAUGCCGUAUGGACGGAUUGAACUCUCCACGAUCUCCUUCUCCUGCUCCGCUGUGCUGCCCACAGGAACGGGGAUGAGCCAGUAAUCAGUUUUAACUCGCCUUCGAUGCUCGUGCCGUGGAAGGAAACGGGCCACUCACCGGCUGCAGAGUGACUCCUCCAUCCUUUAGGACCAAGCCAUGCGUUUCCAUCCGGGUAUUUAUUCCGCACCCUCAGAGCGAAGCGGUACCACCCGACCGGCCGCUUGUACGGCUCACCUCCGCGAGAGCACGCUGAGGAAUCUGUCAACUUUCGGAAAUCAUAAUCAAAAUGUGGAUCAAAAAACUCCUCCAUGUCCACGAAUAGCUCGUUCCGUAAUGCAGAGAUUUCACUCUCGCUGAUUUUUAAACUGUUCAAUAACUCAUUCACAGUCAUCUCCCCAUCACCUUUCAAUGCCGUUGUUAAAGCAGCUGAAAGAAAAUUUUCAACUGUCAGUUUAUUGGCAACUUCCUGCGCUUUUCGGUCAGCAAGAGGUUUAACUGUAGCACCGGUGAGAGCGGAGAGAGCCUCCAACACGACUUCUCUGUCCAUUCCCGGCAUGAUGAACUCUUGAUUUGAGGCCUAACAGGUUCUGAAGAUCUGUGUUCACACUGAUAGAGUCUACAGCUCUGUGCUCAGAUAUUUAUACGAAUGGAAGUGUCUUACAGCGUGCCAGAAACAUUUCUGAAAUGGGAAUAUCACAUGAGAUGUGAAUACCAGCAGAUAACAUGUCUUGAUUCAUACCUGUAUCUUAUUACUGCCAAUCAGACAGACACAGAGAAAGAGAGAGAGAGAGAGAGAGAGAGAGAGAGAGAGAGAGCAUGUGAUGUACUGUAGCUGGCAGAGCUUGCCAGACGUACGCACACACACACACGCACACUAAACUGAACACCAUCCUACUCCCAUUGCAAUAUUUGCACAUUUCUGUACUUCAGAUAAACUGACAGUUCAAUGAAGAAAUGGUAAUGAAUGAGUGUUAUGUUGUGUGUAGAAGGUGGUGAUGGAACAGAUGGGUGUGAAAGCUCUGCUAAAAUGAAAGGAGAAGGAAAAGGUCAGGAAUGUAGCUGUACCGGGUCAUGUUUACACAAACACAUAUUACAUUAAACUGCUCACACACUUCUUACACACUUCUGAAGGUCCUGGUGAGAUUUACUAUACAGGGUCGAACACUUGUGGACUAAAUUAAUUCACUGAUGGAGUUCAUCAGACCAGAGACCCACUACAGGACAAGAGGCAUUCUCUCAGAAAGGAGAGAAUUUUCUCAGACUUUCAUAAACUUUUUAUUUUAGUAAUUAGUGAACUGAUAAUUAGUGAAAAGACUGAAGGAAACCAUUAGUGAUAUAACAGUGGGCAGUGUGGAGCUGUAAUCUACAUGACUGUUUAAACCCAUUUACCUUCAUUCUGGUAUCAGCUUUUAACUCAUGUCUGUUUGCAGUGAGAUUUUUUAUAAUAUUUUAUAACACAUGAAGUGAGAUAAGACCUCAUGUAUUAUAAAAUACUGCUACUGACCUAUAAAGCACCGAACGGUCUCGUGCCACAGUAACUUAGUGAACUUUUGUUCUUUUGCGAUACACCAUGCCUACUUUGAUCAAAAGGUGCAGAAUAUUUGUUGGUACCUCAAAUAGUAAAGUCUACUGUAGGGGGAAGAACUUUCUCUUACAAAGACAGUUAUGGAACAGCCUUCCAAUUAGUGGGGAUUCAGACACGGUCUCAGUUUUUAAUUACAGGCUAAAAACAGCCCCCACCCUUUCACACCUUCACCCAGGUUUGUUGAUGGAGAGGUACUCAUGAGAUGCCAGUGAUCCUGACCCCUUCUGCUCUCCAGAACUGCCUGAUCCAUCCUCAUGCCCUACUUCUGGUUCAGUUCUCAUCAAUUGGAAGUUACAUGCUGCUGCUGAGGAUGGCCUCACAUGGUGCAGCCUAAAGUUCGUGGAGUUUACUGAGGAUGGUACCACUUAAAAACCAUAAGAUGGCUUUGGACCUCAAUUCAUUUGAACAGUUAUGCUAUGAUAGCUUUAGGACUUUAAUUGCCACAAACAGUUCUGCACUCAAGUCUCCAUCAGUGAACAGUGGAGAAGUUCAACAAAACAGACUUCAUGUAAAAACUGUAAUGAAUUUUCCUGGUUACAAAACUGGACUAUUUGACCAUGAAGUAUUAGCACAUUUAUAGAAGGAAUUAAUUUAUAUUCACACUACCUGGUAUCAUCCAGAUGAGGAGUCUGGUUCCUCUCCAGGUUUCUUAGUCAUAUCGUCUCAGGGAGUUUUUCCUCACCACCUUCAGCUCUGGCUUGCUCAUUAGGAAUGAAUACAUUUAAAAAUCUAUAUCCUGAAUUUAUAUUUUUCUGUAAAGCUGUUUUGGGACAAUGUCCAUUGUUAAAAGUGCUACACAAAUAAAACUGAAUUGAAUUGAAUGUUUCUUCCAUUUUCA
Molecule: RNA transcript, 4904 nt
Organism: Ictalurus punctatus (channel catfish)
Lineage: Eukaryota; Metazoa; Chordata; Actinopteri; Siluriformes; Ictaluridae
Gene name: SUN domain-containing protein 2
Exons: 14
Source: RefSeq, a predicted model, not a curated record